Molecule: ribosomal RNA, 440 nt
Filed under: uncultured bacterium
Lineage: Bacteria
Description: partial 16S ribosomal RNA
Rfam family: Bacterial small subunit ribosomal RNA
Source: RNAcentral
CCUACGGGGAGCAGCAGUGGGGAAUAUUGCACAAUGGGGGGAACCCUGAUGCAGCGACGCCGCGUGAGUGAAGAAGUAUUUCGGUAUGUAAAGCUCUAUCAGCAGGGAAGAAGAUGACGGUACCUGACUAAGAAGCCCCGGCUAACUACGUGCCAGCAGCCGCGGUAAUACGUAGGGGGCAAGCGUUAUCCGGAUUUACUGGGUGGAAAGGGGGCGUAGACGGCUGGGAAAGUCUGGAGUGAAAGGCCGGGGGCCAACCCCGGGACUGCUUUGGAAACUGCCAUGCUAGAGUGCUGGAGAGGAAAGCGGAAUUCCUAGUGUAGCGGUGAAAUGCGUAGAUAUUAGGAGGAACACCAGUGGCGAAGGCGGCUUUCUGGACAGUAACUGACGUUGAGGCUCGAAAGCGUGGGGAGCAAACAGGAUUAGAUACCCGAGUAGUC